RNAcentral lists this ribosomal RNA (254 nucleotides) under uncultured bacterium. RNAcentral describes it as "partial 16S ribosomal RNA". It matches the Rfam family "Bacterial small subunit ribosomal RNA", at positions 524 to 776 of the family's 1533-position model. The record is from RNAcentral.
UACGUAGGUGACUAGCGUUGUCCGGAUUUACUGGGCGUAAAGGGCGCGUAGGCGGCAUGACAAGUCACUUGUGAAAUCUCUGGGCUUAACCCAGAACGGCCAAGUGAUACUGGCGCGCUAGAGUGCGGAAGGGGCAAUCGGAAUUCUCGGUGUAGCGGUGAAAUGCGUAGAUAUCGAGAGGAACACCUGAGGUGAAGACGGGUUGCUGGGCCGACACUGACGCUGAGUGCGCGAAAGCCAGGGGAGCAAACGGG